CAGAAACUGAGAGCUGCAGGGAAAGGAACAUACCUGCAUGCAUACAUACUACACUCAAACGAUUGGGAGCAUGCACUUCUCUAAGGAGAGCCCCUGCAGAGAGCAGGGAAAUAAAGAAUCACCUGGAGAUCCUCAGCACUCAUCCAUCUCAUCUAAUUUGUCUGCAGCAGCUCACUAAACAUGAGGCAUCACUGUCACUGUGAGCUGAGCUGGUACCUGAAGGAGUCUCAACUAAAGGUGUGCCUGAGAAUAAAUCCAGCUCCUCUGUUUUAUAUCUUUGCAACCUGUCUCUACGUCUCUGAUAUGGAGUGUUGGCUUUUUGCACAAAGCAAUAAAACCGCUGAUGAGUUUCUGUGACUCCAGGAAAGAAAU
Long non-coding RNA from Notolabrus celidotus (New Zealand spotty), 372 nucleotides. RefSeq lists it as uncharacterized. The record is from RefSeq and is a predicted model, not a curated record. The transcript is spliced from 3 exons. Lineage: Eukaryota; Metazoa; Chordata; Actinopteri; Labriformes; Labridae.